This 484-nucleotide ribosomal RNA is filed under the name uncultured bacterium. Its description in RNAcentral is "partial 16S ribosomal RNA". It matches the Rfam family "Bacterial small subunit ribosomal RNA", at positions 28 to 507 of the family's 1533-position model. The record is from RNAcentral.
AUUGAACGCUGGCGGCAUGCUUUACACGUGCAAGUCGAACGGCAGCGCGGGCUUCGGCCUGGCGGCGAGUGGCGAACGGGUGAGUAAUGCAUCGGAACGUGCCCAGUAGUGGGGGAUAGCCCGGCGAAAGCCGGAUUAAUACCGCAUACGACCUGAGGGUGAAAGCGGGGGACCGAAAGGCCUCGCGCUAUUGGAGCGGCCGAUGUCGGAUUAGCUAGUUGGUGGGGUAAAGGCUUACCAAGGCGACGAUCCGUAGCUGGUCUGAGAGGACGACCAGCCACACUGGGACUGAGACACGGCCCAGACUCCUACGGGAGGCAGCAGUGGGGAAUUUUGGACAAAGGGGGCAACCCUGAUCCAGCCAUGCCGCGUGCGGGAAGAAGGCCUUCGGGUUGUAAACCGCUUUUGUUCGGGAAGAAAUCCUCUGGGCUAAUACCCCGGGGGGAUGACGGUACCGGAAGAAUAAGCACCGGCUAACUACGUG